AAAAAGGUAAAUAUUGAUGUUUUUCAACUAGAGUACAAGAUACAUUAAUAUGUGUAAUUAUGUGGUUGUCUCAUUUUACUAUGUGACAUGUUAGCAUGUUAGGUGUGCAUUGAGUUUAUUUGGAAAAUAUAGGGAUAAUUACGUUUUCAAGAUCAUGCAUGCUUUUAUUGUCAUGCUGAUUGAGUUGCAGUUGAAAAUUUUGAAUGUGAAUCCCAUAAUAGAUGUACUGUACUAUUAUUUCCGAAUAACUAUACCACUUUGAAGCUCGUGACAGUCAUUAAAGGUAGCCAAGGAUAGGGUAUUUGGAGUUUGGCACCUGUAUACGGACAAUGUCAAGAGGUCCCUUGGGACUGCGGAUAGGCACCUGGAAGGCUGUAUAUAGUAGACCAGGCCUUGAAUUUGUAUAUAUAAUAUUCUAAUGUGGCAUCCUUAGUCUCAAUGGGCAACGAUGGAUGCGUUGAUAUUGGUUUGUGUGUAAGAAAAGACCAUGUUAUUUGGAGCUCAUACGGUACCCUAUAAUAAGGAUUUGGGCCCACUUAUGCUUGACAUCCAUCAUUGCAUCAUCAUAUUUACCUAACUUUAUAGUUCAUGCUUUUUAUUUGAGUAGUGCUAUGAGUACAGAAAACUCAUUACAGGAAUAGUAUAGGAUUUGAAAAAUUAAUGACGUGGCAUACAAAAAGCAAAAAAAGAAAAAAACAUAAGGCUGAGAAAGCAAAACGCAGAAAAGGACAGCUUCUCAUUCCACCAUUUCCGCCAAAAUUGGCGUCGAGUCCCGCCACUGAUCGCUCACCCAUAUCCGGCCAAAAUCCGAGCAAUUGAUCGACGCAUCUCCGAGUUGUAUGCAAACAGAAAGUCGAUGCUAUUCUCACCAAGAAUUCCAAAAUUUGCAGUCACCGAUAAUGGCAGACAAAGCUUUUCUGUUUGCAGGCAGCUUGUUAGCAUCGAUGGAGAUGACUGCGGUUGUGAAGGGAGUGCUCACCUCGUAUGCGGUAGUGCUGAUCGACGGUGAUGGUGAGCACAGCGACGGGAAGAUUGGUUUGGGAAAGAAAUUUCGUGGGUGAUUUGGGAGAAAUAGAAGAGACUUUGGAUGUGGGGGAAAUACAGGUGAAGUAUUAUUUUUGUUUUUUUUUUUAUGCAAUGUCAUCAUUAUUUGAAAUCCUACACCUCUAACGAGUUUCCUAUACUCGUAGCAUUUUUGUUUGUAUUUUGUAUUGUUGAUGGCACCAAGAGAAACUAAAACUAUUAGAACAA
Long non-coding RNA from Olea europaea var. sylvestris, 1251 nucleotides. RefSeq lists it as uncharacterized. NCBI's taxonomy places the organism in Eukaryota, Viridiplantae, Streptophyta, Magnoliopsida, Lamiales, Oleaceae. The record is from RefSeq and is a predicted model, not a curated record. The transcript is spliced from 2 exons.